Long non-coding RNA from Leptidea sinapis, 1294 nucleotides. RefSeq lists it as uncharacterized. The transcript is spliced from 2 exons. The record is from RefSeq and is a predicted model, not a curated record. Lineage: Eukaryota; Metazoa; Arthropoda; Insecta; Lepidoptera; Pieridae.
UUAUUUGUAUUACUAUAGAGAAACUAAAAAUAUUUGGAUAUUAGAAUUUAAAUCAUAUUUUUAUAUUAAAAAAAAAUGUGUGGCUUAAAGGACUUGCGUCAAAUCUCCAAGCGAUAAAUAAAUUAAAAAAAAAGAAGGAUUGCGGACUGCGGUUGCAUUUUGUCACAAAUAUUCAAUAUUGUUUCCCUAAAUAAAAUUGCUUAAUAGGUACCCACAUUGUCAUUAGAUACCUAUACUUAUUAAAUAUUAGUACCUAUCCUUUAUAUAUAUAUCAUGGAAAUAGAAGAGAAUGAAAUAAAAAUAGAAUAUUUUGAUUCAUUAGACGAAGAUCCUCUAAGAGAUUGUGUUAUGAAUACUGUAAGUGUUGUUCAUAACAUAGAAUACGAAAUCAAUAAAAAGGCUAUUCAGAAGUUUGAAGUACUAGCUGAAUACCCAGAGGAUAAUAUUAUAGAAGAAAACUGGUACAAAGAAAUUGACCAUAAUGGAAGAUACAUAUGUAAAUUCUGUGAUUUAAAAUAUUUAACGAUUCAAACAUUAAGAUGUCACAUUAAAAACAAGCAUUUAGAGAAUGUGGUAAAUUUAAGAAUGUCAAUUAAGGCUAAUAAAUGGAAGAAGAGGAUUAAAUGCUAUGUGUGUCAGAAACAGUUUAAAACCUUUGGAGAUCUAAAUACUCAUUCUUCAUCUCAUUCAACAUUAAACAGUGAUAUCAUCAGCUGUCUUCACUGUAAAGCUUCAUUUCGAGAUUUAAAUGAAUUGCUUAUUCAUCAACAGAAUGAACACAGACUGUACAAAAAGCCACACAUUUGCACUUUAUGUGGUUAUCAGACAUCCAAGAGAUCCCAUUACAAACAACAUCAGAAUACUCAUUUAUCAAAAAGGGAGUUAAAGUGUUCAUAUUGUGAUUAUAGCACACACUAUUCACCAAAUUUGAAAGUACAUGAAAGAAUACACACAAAUUUCAAACCAUAUAAAUGUGACUUUCCAGACUGUGAGUAUAUUUGUUCAGCCAAGUCUGCUUUGAAUAGCCACAGUUUAAAACAUGUUCCACAUAACAAUUUGCUGUAUUGUGAUCAGUGUUGCUAUAAAACUAUUUAUAAGCAAUCUUUAAAAAAACAUCAACAUAGUCACUCUAGAAAUAGAAUACUUUUAAAAAUUUAAAUAUGUAAUGAGUUACUACUGUCUGGUUAUAUCUAUGGUUAGAACGUAGAAGUAUGACUGUCCAUGUGUGGUCACUCUAUCUGUUUUUCUUGCUUAGUUGUAAGACUGUGGCUUUACAUUAAAAUGUUGAAUGAUU